This 207-nucleotide long non-coding RNA is filed under the name Nicotiana benthamiana. RNAcentral's name for it is "long non-coding RNA (NBEN_LNC008126)". The record is from RNAcentral. Lineage: Eukaryota; Viridiplantae; Streptophyta; Magnoliopsida; Solanales; Solanaceae.
CAAACAACCAGUACAUAAAACCUCCCACAGAUCAGGGGGUCACGAGUCAAGAGUCUCUACCAAAAUAGCGUAAUAAUACUGAAAUAUAUCAUAAUCUAAGUACGCGAAAAUAUCAAAUACAGAAAUAGUGGAGAACUCGGGUCCUGGCGGACGCCAGGCAGCUACCUCGACAAGCUCCGAAGAAUACUCUAAAAAUCAGCCGAAAUA